AAGAGGCAGCUCAGCUCAGAAUAUGCCAUCUGCACUUCCUGGAACAACCCCACUUAGAAUCUCAUGCUAACAGCACGGGACUGGGCUGCAUCACAGCCUUGCAGGCUGAUGGGAGUGUUAUCUGCUAAAACGCAGAUGGAUUCACCCCCAUGGUGCAGGGCAGUGCAGGGUGAUGCAGGGCUCCCUUUCCCCACGUGUGCUGGCUUUGAGCUGCUCAGUGCUGUAUAAUCAGAUGCCCUGAAGGGCGCCCUUUGGCUUUGAGCUGCUCAGUGCUUUAUAAUCAGGUGCCUUGAAGUGUUGCAUGGUUUUGCAGAGUCACAUGUUGGCUUUCUUCCUUUCCAGAUGGAGCGAGCAGCAUCAUUGUUGGAGUCCUGCCCCUCCUCCUGGCAAUGCUGGUGAUGAACUUCUAAAUCAGGGCACGGCUGCAGCAUUCAGAUGGUGGGAUGUGGUUGUGCCCUGCGUUGCCUGCUGGAGAAAUCAACCCUGCCACAGCGACUGGCAGAACUGUGAUGGAUGAAGAUGAUGUUGAGCCCUCAUGCCCCCCAGACAAGCAGUUGCACUUUUUAGCUGGCGUUGUGCUGGACACAACAGCAGUGUGGCUGUGCCAGCAGUUCAGAUGUGAGUGUGGUUAUUUCUAUGGGAAGUGGCAGUGAUACCAAAGGUUUCUGAACUGCACUGCUGUGGACUCGAGGAAAUUGGGCACUUUGGGUACCUCUGUGGUCUGAUUUUCAGCCCCACUGAGGUAAUGCUGAGCCUUGUUCCCAUUAGGGCUCACAGCUCUCUGAAGUGUCCUGAUGCGUGACUGUUCCUGUAUGAGUGGUACAUACUUGAAUUAAUAAUGUGAGCCAAAUACUGUGACACUGAAAGCACUGACAAUGUUUGCAUAGAAGCACACUGUAGCAUUUUCUUCAAGGCCAGUGUGGACAAAACAAACCUUAUAGAUGGGUAAUUUUACUGGAGAGAAUGUAAAUAUAAACACCUUGUGACAAAUAA
Molecule: long non-coding RNA, 993 nt
Organism: Lagopus leucura (white-tailed ptarmigan)
Lineage: Eukaryota; Metazoa; Chordata; Aves; Galliformes; Phasianidae
Exons: 2
Source: RefSeq, a predicted model, not a curated record